GAAGUAGUACGGAUGAUCGCGCCGCAAGGUGAGGAAAGUCCGGGCUUUACAGGGCAGGAUACUGGUUAACGGCCAGCGGGAGAAAUCCUGGAGAUAGCGCAACAGAAAAUAUACCGCCGCGAAAGCGGUAAGGGCGAAAUGGCGGUUUAAGAGACCACCGCGUGCAUGGUGACAUGCAUGGCACGGCAAGCCUUAUCCAAAGCAAGAUCAAAGGAAUAAGGGCGACCUUAUUCGGCAAAAGCUAUACGGCGGCCCGUCGUGCUUUUGGGUAGAUCGCGUCCAGCGGGGUGACCCGUAUGGGGAGCUUUUCAGUAAUGAAAAGUCAAGAAGGAUGAUCAUCUAAAACAGAACCCGGCUUAUGGUACUACUUUAAAA
RNAcentral lists this RNase P RNA (375 nucleotides) under Lachnospiraceae bacterium. Its description in RNAcentral is "RNase P RNA component class A". It matches the Rfam family "Bacterial RNase P class A". From Rfam's summary of the family: Ribonuclease P (RNase P) is a ubiquitous endoribonuclease, found in archaea, bacteria and eukarya as well as chloroplasts and mitochondria. The record is from RNAcentral. Lineage: Bacteria; Bacillati; Bacillota; Clostridia; Lachnospirales; Lachnospiraceae.